CUGCAUCGGAGAAGGAAAUCACCUCUUCACCUGGAGCCAAGAAAAGCCUAUGGCUGCUGUCAAUAGCCGGCUGGCUCCAAGGCAGGAUGGCAUAGCAGAGGGGCGUGGUAGAGGAGAAGUGGAGAGCUUGUGAAGGGCGGAGCUGGAAGAUGGACCCUUGCAGGCCACGCCCCCAGUGUCCCAUCUCCUCCAACCAGGCUUCACCUCCCAACUUUACAUUUAGCCAUAAACUCAUCAGUGGACCAAUCUCUUGGGAGCAUCACGCCUACUAUGAUCCGGUCGCCUCCUAAAAGCCUCAGCGAUGAGUACUUGAAGCAUUAGGUGGACUCUAGGUAUAAACCGUAACUGUCUCCAUGGUCAUUUUUGACUGAGAAAGAGGCAGAAGUUGCAGGGUGCCUGAUCUGAUCCCAUAAGACAGUAGAGAAGAGAGACAUGCAUACCUUGGAAAAGUCAAAGAGAUCUUCACCAAAAAAGAAGAUUUUAUGUAGCACCUACAGGAAGGACACAUAUUAUUAGAUGGUGCUAAAGAAAGGCCAUUUAUGAUCAGAGAAACAACGUCAGCAAGGUCCUCGAAAUAAGGUGCGUUAGACAAGCAGGACCAGCAUGUGAGAGGACAGGAAUGUUGCCCAGUCAAACUAAGUUGGAGCAGACCAAACUUCUAGAACAAGAGCCUUUGGGGGAGGAGCAAUAUGUAGCCGACAUCAGAGGCUAAGCAGCUCUGAGACCCUUCUGUCUGAGGACUGAAAACAGCUGGAGAUUUCAGCGCAAUGGGCAGCUGCCCGAGGCAGAAACACGACGGUGGAAUUGUGUGCGGGGAAAAGCUGCUCACUUUGGGGACAAGAAGCAGCAAGGGAGAGAAGGAGCUGCGGACAAGAGUGCACCUUCCAGGGCACACCCCGGGGCCCACCUUCCCACCAGCCCCACCUUCUAACAGCACGUUCAGCUAGGGAUGGAUUAAUCCACAGAUGAGCUGAGCCCUCUCCUGAUCCACCAUCUUCCCAAAGCCCCCCUCGAAUCAUUGCUUUAUUUGGGACCAAGUCCCCUAUAGCAUCUCAUGAGACCACCCAAGGCUCUGUCACAACGGUGUCAUAGCCAGGCGCUUCUGCUCAGACGCCUCUUCCUUCCUUCUCAGACAUCGCUGCCCAAAGCAAUUUCUAGUAAACCAUCUGCAUGAAAACCUUCAUCUCACCAGAUUCUCUCAGGAACAUGACUACAGGGAAU
Molecule: long non-coding RNA, 1221 nt
Organism: Fukomys damarensis (Damara mole-rat)
Lineage: Eukaryota; Metazoa; Chordata; Mammalia; Rodentia; Bathyergidae
Exons: 6
Source: RefSeq, a predicted model, not a curated record